Molecule: ribosomal RNA, 897 nt
Filed under: uncultured Ruminococcus sp.
Lineage: Bacteria; Bacillati; Bacillota; Clostridia; Eubacteriales; Oscillospiraceae
Description: bacterial SSU rRNA
Rfam family: Bacterial small subunit ribosomal RNA
Source: RNAcentral
CCUACCAUGCAAGUCGAGCGAAGCACUUUGCUUAGAUUCUUCGGAUGAAGAGGAUUGUGACUGAGCGGCGGACGGGUGAGUAACGCGUGGGUAACCUGCCUCAUACAGGGGGAUAACAGUUAGAAAUGACUGCUAAUACCGCAUAAGACCACAGCACCGCAUGGUGCGGGGGUAAAAACUCCGGUGGUAUGAGAUGGACCCGCGUCUGAUUAGCUGGUUGGUAAGGUAACGGCUUACCAAGGCGACGAUCAGUAGCCGACCUGAGAGGGUGACCGGCCACAUUGGGACUGAGACACGGCCCAAACUCCUACGGGAGGCAGCAGUGGGGAAUAUUGCACAAUGGGGGAAACCCUGAUGCAGCGACGCCGCGUGAGCGAAGAAGUAUUUCGGUAUGUAAAGCUCUAUCAGCAGGGAAGAAAAUGACGGUACCUGACUAAGAAGCACCGGCUAAAUACGUGCCAGCAGCCGCGGUAAUACGUAUGGUGCAAGCGUUAUCCGGAUUUACUGGGUGUAAAGGGAGCGUAGACGGAUGGGCAAGUCUGAUGUGAAAACCCGGGGCUCAACCCCGGGACUGCAUUGGAAACUGUUCAUCUAGAGUGCUGGAGAGGUAAGUGGAAUUCCUAGUGUAGCGGUGAAAUGCGUAGAUAUUAGGAGGAACACCAGUGGCGAAGGCGGCUUACUGGACAGUAACUGACGUUGAGGCUCGAAAGCGUGGGGAGCAAACAGGAUUAGAUACCCUGGUAGUCCACGCCGUAAACGAUGACUACUAGGUGUCGGGUGGCAAAGCCAUUCGGUGCCGCAGCAAACGCAAUAAGUAGUCCACCUGGGGAGUACGUUCGCAAGAAUGAAACUCAAAGGAAUUGACGGGGGACCCGCACAAGCGGUGGAACCAUGUUG